RNAcentral lists this ribosomal RNA (418 nucleotides) under uncultured bacterium. RNAcentral describes it as "bacterial SSU rRNA". It matches the Rfam family "Bacterial small subunit ribosomal RNA", at positions 11 to 416 of the family's 1533-position model. The record is from RNAcentral.
GUUUGAUCCUGGCUCAGAGCGAACGUUAGCGGCGCGCCUAACACAUGCAAGUCGCACGAGAAAGGGGGCAACCCCCGGUACAGUGGCGCACGGGUGAGUAACACGUGGGUGAUCUGCCCAGAAGAAGGGGAUAACCUCUCGAAAGGGGGGCUAAUACCGCAUAGGACCACCGGGGCUUUGGCUCUGUGGUGAAAGGGGGCCUCUGUUUACAAGCUCCUGCUUCUGGAUGAGCCCGCGUCCCAUCAGCUAGUUGGUAGGGUAAUGGCCUACCAAGGCUACGACGGGUAGCUGGUCUAAGAGGAUGGCCAGCCACACUGGAACUGAGACACGGUCCAGACUCCUACGGGAGGCAGCAGUGGGGAAUCUUGCGCAAUGGGCGAAAGCCUGACGCAGCGACGCCGCGUGGGUGACGAAGGCC